GGCAAUUCUCUGGUGAUGCACCCUGGAAUCGGGCUUCCUCCUCUCUGCUUCCGGGUCCAUCACUCAAGAACUGCA
This is a non-coding RNA of Myotis brandtii (Brandt's bat), 75 nucleotides long. The record is from Rfam. Lineage: Eukaryota; Metazoa; Chordata; Mammalia; Chiroptera; Vespertilionidae.